AUUUCUUUCAUUUGUAGGGAGGUUAGCAAUUCCCUGACCAGAGAGCAAAUAACACUAAAACUGUGAAUACCUCAAAUUUCUCUGCCUUCCACAGACAAGAUGUUUUGAAACAAUGUGCCUUCAAGAACUUAGAAUCUCACUGGGGAGACAAGAUGGACAGAUGACUACGGAAGUUUGAAUUGGAACGACAAUUUGAGAAAGCUUCAAAGAAGAGGCCAUAUGAGAUGGCCUUGAAUCACAAGUUGGAAUUUGAAUAAUGGAAACUGUAAGGAAAGAAGGGACCUGGCACUGCAGGUGGCUACCUCUGUGCCCCUCACUAACCAGACUUCCUUGCCAAUGGGAAGCACAGGCUGGAGACCAGAGAGUGGAAGGCCCAGACAAAGACACUCAGUGCUCCAGUUCUGCGACAGGGACCCUCCAGCUGCAGUGCAUGGGGAGCUGCGUGAGUCAGCCUGGCAUGGACUGUCUUAUGUCGUAAUUACAGAAAAGGAAACAAGAUUGCUUCAGAUUUAUAAAAACUGGAAGGUUCUAUUGCUGCACGUGAACAGAUUCUGUUCCAGGAUCCCGUGCCUCCAGUAACCCAUGCUUUCAUUUUAACAUGGAACAAAAGCGAACUUUAUAAGCUUGCCUGUCUAAAGGGAAUAUGCCCCUGCUCUUUAGCCUUUUGCUUCAGGGAGUUAGAGGAAUGAGUGCGAAGUGAGGGUGUGAAAAAGAGGCUAGACACAGCAGUGCUGCCUGCUGAAUUAUUUUCCAUCUGGAGGGAAGGCUGUCGCUUUCGGUAUAUUCCUCAAAGGAAGAAAGAAUGGUAGUGAACUCAAUCAAGUUUCGAUAUUACCUUGUAGUAGAUUUAAUAAGAAGGAAAAUGACUUGAGUCACAGUGCUGAGGGCUUGGGCAAGGCCCAGUGUAUUGGGAUGAUCUGAUGCACUCUUUCCUGGAUUUAUCUGAAUCUUUGCAGAAAGCAGAGAAGGGGUUGGAGCACCAUGUUGGUCCUGACAGUAGUAGAAAGAGGGAGGUGUAUGAAAAAUGCGGCACGCAUGCGUAUGGUGGAGACGGGCAUAGCCACACGUAUUGGAGACAGUUUAGCAGACUAGUUAGGAGUAUAGGUGCUGACAAUAAACUGCUUGGGCUCAAGAGUUUUCUCUUGCUAGCUGUAGGCCUUGGGCAAAUUACUCAGCCUCUUGAAGUUUCUGUUAACCUCUCUGAGUUUACUGUUCCUCAUCUGUAAGGUUGGGAUAAUAGUGGUACAAAUCUCAUAAGGGUUUUUGAGUAUUAACUUGAGAUGAUUCAUGUAAAGCACUCAGCCUAUAAUAAGGGAAUCAUUAUGAUGAGUAAAUAUAUCCACUGCAGAUGACAUUGCUAUUAGAUGGAGGUAAGGACCUCAACGUGAUGAAUGGAUUUGGUGAGCAGAGCAGUGGAGGUAAUUAUCUUCCUUUACUUCUUUUUCUGUUACUGAUACUACCAUUAAUAAUAUAGUUUCCAAUAAUUUUGAACUAUUAAAUGUCAGACAGAGUUCUGGAAUUUUUGUGUGUGUCUGUGUGAGGAAGAUUGGCCCUGAGCUAACAUCUGUGCCAGUCUCCCCUACCUUAUAUGUGAGAUGCUGCCAAAAAAGCAUGCCUUGAUAAGUGGUGGCUAUGUCCAUGCCCAGGAUCUGAAACUGGCGAAUCCCAGGCCACUGAAGCGGAGCACGCGAACUUAACUGCUAUGCCACUAGGCCAGCCCCCUCAAGGAUACUUAUUUUAUACUUCAAGUGGUAAUCUAAUAUUAUUUUAUUCAUUUUGUUGCUCAAAUUCUUCCAGUUUUGGCCACUAGGAGUUCUUUCAGUUGGCUCAUAUGUUCCUUUGACACCCCCCCAUAUUUUUCUGUUUUUUAGCCAUCUUUUAUUUUCUGGCAUUCCAAGGGAUUCCCAGCUCAUCUUGUAUAUUUCCUGCCUCUGUCCUAGAAUCAACCAUUUCUCUAAGGGGCCUGGUUUCUCUUACUGGAGAGUGCAAUUAGAAACCAAGAUGUGAGUACUAUGUGUGCUCAUCGCUAUUGGGAUGUUAUUGCUUUUAGGCCCUCUCAGCUGCAGAGCAAGGAAAUAUGUGCAUGUAUACUAACCUUCAUAUAUAUAAAUAUCCAUAAAUUUUUCUUCCUAUGUGUAUCCGUCUGUAUCUAUAUCAAGGUAAACAUGAGUUCAUAUCAAUGUCUCCAACUCUCAUCCAUUACUAAUGGAUCAUUUCCUUGCUUAUCUGUAAUCACCUGCUCAAACAGUGAGAAACCUAGCUUCCAUCUUUGGC
Molecule: long non-coding RNA, 2274 nt
Filed under: Equus caballus (horse)
Lineage: Eukaryota; Metazoa; Chordata; Mammalia; Perissodactyla; Equidae
Description: lncRNA (ENSECAG00000044132.1)
Source: RNAcentral